AUGCCCAAGCGGACCAUGGGAGGGACGGCCGACGCCGGGGCCGACGCCAUGGUGUCACCUACGCCGGAGCAGGUGGCUCCUCCGCCGGAGCAGGUGACUCCUCUGCCACGCCAUCUUCCUCCUCUGCCAUGCCAUCUGCCUCCUCUGCCGCAGCCCAUGGUCAACAUCGACAGCGACAACGACGAAGAAGUGGUAGCUGCUCUGGCUCCUCAGACGGAGCAGGUGUCUCCUCUGCCGCGGGUGACGCCUCCUGUGCCCGAGCCUGUGGUCGUCGGCGAUGUCAACAAAGAAGACCCUCACUCGGGUGUUCGUCUGCCGCGGUUGUUGCCUCCCCUGCCCCCACCUGUGGUCGUCGCCGACGAGAACGAAGAAGAGGUUUUCCUUGGUCAGUACAAGGCAAAUAAGGUCCUAAGUGACGACGUUGACAGCGACCCAGAAACCUAG
This 444-nucleotide ribosomal RNA is filed under the name Triticum aestivum (bread wheat). Its description in RNAcentral is "partial small subunit ribosomal RNA". Lineage: Eukaryota; Viridiplantae; Streptophyta; Magnoliopsida; Poales; Poaceae. The record is from RNAcentral.